This is a long non-coding RNA of Rosa rugosa (rugosa rose), 706 nucleotides long. RefSeq lists it as uncharacterized. The record is from RefSeq and is a predicted model, not a curated record. The transcript is spliced from 4 exons. NCBI's taxonomy places the organism in Eukaryota, Viridiplantae, Streptophyta, Magnoliopsida, Rosales, Rosaceae.
UUUUUUUCUCUUUUCUCUCGCUCUCCUCCACUUCUACCUCCGACCAUGAUUGAAGCAGAGCGUAUAUACUAUAUUGCUCAACCAUGCAUUAGAGGAUCCUCUUAAUCAACCUUUACUUUUGUUUCUGAUGGUUACUUGAUUUGUUUUCAGCUGCAUCCCUCUGUCGAUUUCAACAGCCCAUGUUCCACUUCCCAAGUCGAGGUGCUAAAAUUCAAUUGGUUUCAGAAGCAAUCAAAUGGGAACGAUGAGUGCGUUUCAAAAAAUUCAUACAAGAGACUCUUUUUUCUACGAUGCCUGGCAGGUACUUAGACUUGCAUUCUCUCUGAGUUUUCAUCAGCUUUGAUCGAUGAAUGAAGUUUGUCAAAGUUCAGUAAUUGAUUUUCAUUUCAGCAAAUCAUCAAUUGGAAUUAGAUCAGGCUUACGUUUAGGUUCAAUAAUCUGAAUCGAGUGAUGUGUGUUUAUAUGAGAAGGAAUUGAUUCAGGUGCAUUUUUGUGAGAAACUUCAUGAUUUUUCAAGAGUGAAUGCAUGCAGGAGAGAAGACUACCUUGCACAACACAAAGAUGUAAUUGAUUAUGGAGAGGCUUUUGUCAUGCGUGGUUUGAUUAAUGUAUAAGAUAUGUUAAAUUCUCUAUCUAGCCUAUUUACACAUAGAUUUAGAGAUUAAUCACAGUUUUAGUAAGUUGAAUUUAACUUUCGUUAUAAGGA